UACUCAGUUCAGAUUGCAGGCUGNAACCGCCUGCAUGAAGUCGGAAUUGCUAGUAAUCGCGGAUCAGCAUGCCGCGGUGAAUACGUUCCCGGGCCUUGUACACACCGCCCGUCACACCAUGGGAGCCGGUAAUACCCGAAGUCAGUAGUCCAACCUCGUGAGGACGCUGCCGAAGGUAGGAUUGGCGACUGGGGUGAAGUCGUAACAAGGUAAC
This 214-nucleotide ribosomal RNA is filed under the name uncultured bacterium. Its description in RNAcentral is "partial 16S ribosomal RNA". It matches the Rfam family "Bacterial small subunit ribosomal RNA", at positions 1285 to 1500 of the family's 1533-position model. The record is from RNAcentral.